This 508-nucleotide ribosomal RNA is filed under the name uncultured bacterium. RNAcentral's name for it is "partial 16S ribosomal RNA". It matches the Rfam family "Bacterial small subunit ribosomal RNA", at positions 28 to 507 of the family's 1533-position model. The record is from RNAcentral.
GACGAACGCUGGCGGCGUGCCUAAUACAUGCAAGUCGAACGCUUCUUUCCUCCCGAGUGCUUGCACUCAAUUGGAAAGAGGAGUGGCGGACGGGUGAGUAACACGUGGGUAACCUACCCAUCAGAGGGGGAUAACACUUGGAAACAGGUGCUAAUACCGCAUAACAGUUUAUGCCGCAUGGCAUAAGAGUGAAAGGCGCUUUCGGGUGUCGUUGAUGGAUGGACCCGCGGUGCAUUAGCUAGUUGGUGAGGUAACGGCUCACCAAGGCCACGAUGCAUAGCCGACCUGAGAGGGUGAUCGGCCACACUGGGACUGAGACACGGCCCAGACUCCUACGGGAGGCAGCAGUAGGGAAUCUUCGGCAAUAGACGAAAGUCUGACCGAGCAACGCCGCGUGAGUGAAGAAGGUUUUCGGAUCGUAAAACUCUGUUGUUAGAGAAGAACAAGGACGUUAGUAACUGAACGUCCCCUGACGGUAUCUAACCAGAAAGCCACGGCUAACUACGUG